AUUAAACGCUGGUGGCAUGCCUUACACAUGCAAGUCGAACGGCAGCACGGGGCAACCUGGUGGCGAGUGGCGAACGGGUGAGUAAAGCAUCGGAACGUGCCCUGGAGUGGGGGAGUAACGUAGCGAAGUUACGCUAUACCGCAUAUUCUGUGAGCAGGAAAGCAGGGGAGUCGCAAGACCUUGCGCUGAUGGAGCGGCCGAUAUCAGAUUAGCUAGUUGGUUGGAGGUAAAGGGACUCACCAACGGCGGACGAUCUGUAGCGGGUCGUGAGAGGAUGAUCCGCCCACACUGGGACGUGAGGACACGGCCCGACGACUCCUACGGGAGGGCAGCAGUGGGGAAGUU
RNAcentral lists this ribosomal RNA (345 nucleotides) under uncultured bacterium. RNAcentral describes it as "bacterial SSU rRNA". It matches the Rfam family "Bacterial small subunit ribosomal RNA", at positions 29 to 364 of the family's 1533-position model. The record is from RNAcentral.